This 25-nucleotide small RNA is filed under the name Arabidopsis thaliana (thale cress). RNAcentral's name for it is "ATSL022260". The record is from RNAcentral. Lineage: Eukaryota; Viridiplantae; Streptophyta; Magnoliopsida; Brassicales; Brassicaceae.
UUUUUAGUUCUUUUUUUUUGGUUUU